Molecule: transfer RNA, 63 nt
Filed under: Leptodius sanguineus
Lineage: Eukaryota; Metazoa; Arthropoda; Malacostraca; Decapoda; Xanthidae
Description: tRNA-Asp
Source: RNAcentral
GGGAAAUUAGUUAAUUUAUAACACUAACUUGUCAAGUUAGAGUAAUCUCUAAGAUAUUUCCCA